GAUGAACGCUGGCGGCGUGCUUAACACAUGCAAGUCGAACGGAAAGGCCCAAGCUUGCUUGGGUACUCGAGUGGCGAACGGGUGAGUAACACGUGGGUGAUCUGCCCUGCACUUCGGGAUAAGCCUGGGAAACUGGGUCUAAUACCGGAUAGGACGAUGGUUUGGAUGCCAUUGUGGAAAGUUUUUUCGGUGUGGGAUGAGCUCGCGGCCUAUCAGCUUGUUGGUGGGGUAAUGGCCUACCAAGGCGUCGACGGGUAGCCGGCCUGAGAGGGUGUACGGCCACAUUGGGACGGAGAUACGGCCCAGACUCCUACCGGAGGCAGGAGUGGGGAAUAUUGCACAAUGGGCGCAAGCCUGACGCAGCGACGCCGCGUGGGGGAUGACGGCAUUCGGGUUGUAAACUCCUUUCGCUAGGGACGAAGCGUUUUUGUGACGGUACCUGGAGAAGAAGCACCGGCUAACUACGUG
RNAcentral lists this ribosomal RNA (468 nucleotides) under uncultured bacterium. RNAcentral's name for it is "partial 16S ribosomal RNA". It matches the Rfam family "Bacterial small subunit ribosomal RNA", at positions 28 to 507 of the family's 1533-position model. The record is from RNAcentral.